UACAGUGGUCUCGAGCGUUAGGCGGAAUCACUGGGCUUAAAGCGUGUGUAGGCGGAUCGUUAAGUGCCUUGUGAAAUCCCACGGCUCAACCGUGGAACUGCUUGGCAUACUGGCGGUCUUGAGCAACCUAGGGGCGAGCGGAACAAAUGGUGGAGCGGUGAAAUGCGUAGAUAUCAUUUGGAACGCCAAUGGUGAAAACAGCUCGCUGGGGGUUUGCUGACGCUGAGACACGAAAGCCAGGGGAGCAAACGGG
This 253-nucleotide ribosomal RNA is filed under the name uncultured bacterium. RNAcentral's name for it is "partial 16S ribosomal RNA". It matches the Rfam family "Bacterial small subunit ribosomal RNA", at positions 524 to 776 of the family's 1533-position model. The record is from RNAcentral.